Triticum aestivum (bread wheat) is the source of this 3843-nucleotide long non-coding RNA. RefSeq lists it as uncharacterized. The record is from RefSeq and is a predicted model, not a curated record. The transcript has 14 exons. NCBI's taxonomy places the organism in Eukaryota, Viridiplantae, Streptophyta, Magnoliopsida, Poales, Poaceae.
GGGACGGAGACGGAAGCGCCGCCGCCGCCCUCGACCUGCCCACCCCGCUCCGGAUCCAGCCCCAACGGCUACCCACUAACUCCACUUUCCUUCUAUACCCGCCGCACGCCACCUCGCCGAAGCCGCGCCCGGCAAGGACAAGCCCCCGGCUGCCGCGACCGCCUCUGCCCCGACUAUAAAGGCGCGCCCUUUGGCCGGCCAGCUCCUUCUCUCUUCGCCGAGGCCACUCCUCCUCUCUUCGUCCGGGCCAUGCCUCUCGCUCUCGCCUCGAUUCGUCCUCGACUGGUGCCUCGCCUCCUCUCGCGUCCGGUUUCAUCUUGCUCAUCCCCGCUCGAUUCGUCCGCUCGGAUUAGAAGAAUCAGAUUUGGUUUUGCUCGUCUGCGGGGUUCUGAUUUAUUUGGUUCUGCUCGUUCGUCCUCGCCGUCGUUCGUUCAGAAAUCGCGUCUGGUUCUUUCGAUUCUGCUCGUCCUCGCCGUCGUUCGUUCAGAAAUCGUGCCUGGUUCAUUCGAUUCUGCUCUGCUUGUCCUCGCUCUAGUCCGUUUAGAUCAGAAUCGCGUUUGUUUUGAUUUUGCUUGUCCUCGCCGUCGUCAGUUUAGAUAGAAUCGCGUGUGAUUUGAUUCUGUGCGUUCUCGCCAUAGUCCGUUUGCAAUCGCGUUUGCUUUGAUUCUGCUCGGUCCCCUGUGUUGCUGCUGGGUUCGUUACGCUGAUGCCCUCGCGUGUUCUUCGUGCCGUCUCGUCGUGGGUAUCCGUGCCGUGGAGGAAGCGAGCGGUCGGUCGGUUUGGGUCGUCUGGUUUGCGAACUAGCAAGUCUGUUUGAGAAACUUCUGCGUGCGCUUCUGUCAUCUGAGAGGCGCUCACGUUCCUGCGUUUCUUGUUCGCGUCGGGCCGAUGUUCGCGUCUGCUUUUGAAAUUGGAUUGCCGUUUAUCCGUGGUCGUUCAGAUCGUUCCUCUGUUCUGUCACCUGCGUUGUUCGUCCGUUAUUUUCAUAUCUGAAACGCAUGCGCCCUUUGAUACUACUGUACUUGAUGGAUGUUCAGAUCUCAAACGCUGCCUUGUUCGGAUGGGUUGUUCUGAUUGAAAUUGGAUUGUUGGCCCUCUGUCGAUUCUUGUUCUACUUGCUGUAUGUUCAGGGUGUUACUGCUUAUGUUCUUUUCAAUUGCUUAAUUCUUGUCAUGCUGUGCUUAUGUUCCCAUAUAUGAUUGUGUGUAUUCAGGGGUGCUUAGGCAGAAAGAUUUACUAGAGUGCAAACCAUGUAAUUCCUCAUGUUGCUGCUACUUCACAGUCACAGUGCUUGAAUUUCUUUAUAGCUUUGUCUGAAUCACCCUCACCGCUCUAGAGAAAUCACUUUACUCAUUCAAGUUCUGGAAUGUCUUUAUAGCUUUCUCUGUUUGUGCCCCUAUCUAUGUUUGUUUCUUGUGUGCAAGUGCUCCAUUCUCUGUGUGUGUGACUGUGUGGCUUGAUGGUGAAUAUGUCUGGCUUGACUGUGUGUGUGUGUGUGUGCGCGCGUGGCUUGACUGUGUGUGUGUGUGACUCUGUGUGGCUUGACUGUGUGUGUGUGACUCUGUGUGGCUUGACUCUGUGUGUGACUUGACUGUGUGUGUGACUCUGUGUGGCUUGACUGAUGUGACUCUGUGAAUAUUGCGUUUGCUUGAUGGUGUGGCUUGUAUGCUUUGUUGAAUGAUUGGUUGUAUAACUUGUGUUUUACAUUGUUGUGGCAUGAUUGAUUGCUCUUUGUUGAAUGUGAACUCGUAUCCAUGUAUGCUAACUUGGUAUUGGUAGUUCCUAAUCAUAGGCAACACACCUAUUACUACUAGCUUGUUUAGUGUAGACUAACUAUUCUUUUUUCUGAUUUUUUGUGUGAUUAUGUCUUCACAUUGCACUGCUCGAUCCAUAUCGACAUGCCCACGCUGCCUGAUGAGGAUAAAGAUGUUAUGAAAAAAUGGGGUGCUCCAAACAAGAUUGACUUCUUCUCUCUCUUAUACAAGGCAUGCAGAAGAUGUGCAGCAAGCACAGGAGUUCCUCUCUAAGUUAGGUGAUCUUAGUCAAACUCUGUUUUUUCCAAAAUUGAGAAUGUGGAGGGCUUGAACCAUUUUGAUGAGAUCCUGGAAGAAGCAGAUGGUAUAAUUCUGUCACCUUGGAAUUGAUCUUCCACCUGAAAAGGUGUUCUUAUUUCAGAAGUCUGCUCUGCACAAGUGCAAUAUGGCUGGAAAGCCUGCUGUUGUUACUCGUGUUGUGGACAGUAUGACGGACAACCUAAGGCUACUCGUGCGGAGGCAACUGAUGUGGCAAACGCGGUGCUGGACGAAAUAUGAACAUAACACAUGGGUACACUCAAUUCUGAACUCAACCACUAGCACUGUAAUAUGAAUAAUGAGUAAGAUGAGGUUAACGACAGUGAGUACUCCAUGUGCUCUGUCUCAUACUUCCCAUUGUUGCUAUCAUGGUUUAAAAUUUGCGGAGUAUGCACAAGUGCCAGUCUUGACCAGCAAUAUGUUGUUAGUCCUGAGUAUAGCAAUGUAUGCAGGAUAUGCUUUCCGCUAAAGCACCAGCAGCAACCAAGAAGAUUGAAAAAUCCAAUGAAAGUUCUGAUUCUGAAAGCUCUGACUCUGAGAAGCCAGCCACUGAAGUAAAGAAUUCUGCGGUUGCUACUGCACAAAAGAAAAACCAGGGAUUGGAAGGCUCUGACAGUGAUUCUGAUGAUUCAUCAGAAGGAUAUGGCCACUAAAAAACGAGUGGCCAAGAAAGUGGUAGAAUCCAUUGGAAGUUCUGAUUCUGACUCUGAGUAGGAUACCACUGCUAAACCAGUUCAAUCUUCCAAGGUUGUUGCUGUAAGAAUAAAGAAUCUAGUGAUAGCUCAGAUUCUGACUCAGAUUCAGAUUCUGAAGAAGUUCUCUGUUGUACUUGUUUACUCUUGGAUACCGUUGUUAAAACAGUUUCUAUAAAGAAAGAAGAAUCUAGUGCUAGCUCAGAUAAUGACUCGGAUUCAGAUUCUGAUGAACCAGCAAAAUCUACUAUUCCUGCUAAGAGGCCUCUGACAACAGAGAAAAAAGAGCGAACAUUCCAAGGAUGAUUCUGAUGAGAGUGAUGAAGAGCCUGCACUAAAGAAGCCUAAGGAUUCAUCUUCUGGUGGUGCCAAGCCAGUCUCUAAGGUCCCCAAGAAACAAAGCAGUGGUGAUGACGACAGUUCUGAAGGGAGCUCCAGCUGUGAUGAUGAAAACGAUUAAUGAAUGUCAAUGGCAAAGUCCAAGCAGAAUGAAGAACGAAGAUCUGAAUCACCCUCACCCCGCUAGAGAAAUCGGUUUACUCAUUCAAGUUCUGGAAAUUCUUUAUAGCUUUCUGAGUUUACUUCGGUCUUGCAUGUGUUAGCUUUCUGUUUAAUUUGUGCCCCUUUCUCUGUCUGUUUCUUGUGUGCAAGCGCUCCAUUCUGUGUGUGUGACUGUGUGGCUUGACUCUAUGUGUGUGGCUUUUUUGUGUGUGUUGCUUGACUCUCUAUGUGUGGCUUGAUGGUGAAUAUGUGUGUGGCUUGACUGUGUGUGUGCUUGACUCUGUGUGUCUGUGUGACUGUAAAUAUUGCAUUUGCUUGAUGGUGUGGUUUGUAUGCUUUGUUGAAUGAUUGAUUGUGUAUAACUUGUGUUUGUAUGCUUGACUCUAUGUGUGUGGCUUCUUUGUGUGUGUUGCUUGACUCUCUGUGUGUGGCUUGAUGGUGAAUAUGUGUGUGGCUUGACUGUGUGUGUGCUUGACUCUGUGUGUCUGUGUGACUGUGUGAAUAUUGCAUUUGCUUGAUGGUGUGGUUUGUAUGCUUUGUUGAAUGAUUGAUUGUGUAUAACUUGUGUUUUAUAUUGU